This 465-nucleotide ribosomal RNA is filed under the name uncultured bacterium. Its description in RNAcentral is "partial 16S ribosomal RNA". It matches the Rfam family "Bacterial small subunit ribosomal RNA", at positions 28 to 507 of the family's 1533-position model. The record is from RNAcentral.
GAUGAACGCUGGCGGCGUGCUUAACACAUGCAAGUCGAUCGGAAAGGCUCCUGCUUGCAGGGGUACUCGAGUGGCGAACGGGUGAGUAACACGUGGGUGAUCUGCCCUGCACUUCGGGAUAAGCCUGGGAAACUGGGUCUAAUACCGGAUAGGACGAUGGUUUGGAUGCCAUUGUGGAAAGUUUUUCGGUGUGGGAUGAGCUCGCGGCCUAUCAGCUUGUUGGUGGGGUAAUGGCCUACCAAGGCGUCGACGGGUAGCCGGCCUGAGAGGGUGUACGGCCACAUUGGGACUGAGAUACGGCCCAGACUCCUACGGGAGGCAGCAGUGGGGAAUAUUGCACAAUGGGCGCAAGCCUGAUGCAGCGACGCCGCGUGGGGGAUGACGGCCUUCGGGUUGUAAACUCCUUUCGCUAGGGACGAAGCGCAAGUGACGGUACCUGGAGAAGAAGCACCGGCUAACUACGUG